AUGCAAGUCGAGCGGACUUGAUGGAGUGCUUGCACUCCUGAAGGUUAGCGGCGGACGGGUGAGUAACACGUAGGCAACCUGCCCUCAAGACUGGGAUAACUACCGGAAACGGUAGCUAAUACCGGAUAAUUUAUUUUGCAGCAUUGUGGAAUAAUGAAAGGCGGAGCAAUCUGUCACUUGAGGAUGGGCCUGCGGCGCAUUAGCUAGUUGGUGGGGUAACGGCCCACCAAGGCGACGAUGCGUAGCCGACCUGAGAGGGUGAACGGCCACACUGGGACUGAGACACGGCCCAGACUCCUACGGGAGGCAGCGGUAGGGAAUCUUCCGCAAUGGGCGAAAGCCUGACGGAGCAACGCCGCGUGAGUGAUGAAGGUUUUCGGAUCGUAAAGCUCUGUUGCCAAGGAAGAACGUCUUCUAGAGUAACUGCUAGGAGAGUGACGGUACUUGAGAAGAAAGCCCCGGCUAACUACGUGCCAGCAGCCGCGGUAAUACGUAGGGGGCGAGCGUUGUCCGGAAUUAUUGGGCGUAAAGCGCGCGCAGGCGGUCCUUUAAGUCUGGUGUUUAAACCCGAGGCUCAACUUCGGGUCGCACUGGAAACUGGGGAACUUGAGUG
Molecule: ribosomal RNA, 613 nt
Filed under: uncultured Paenibacillus sp.
Lineage: Bacteria; Bacillati; Bacillota; Bacilli; Caryophanales; Paenibacillaceae
Description: bacterial SSU rRNA
Rfam family: Bacterial small subunit ribosomal RNA
Source: RNAcentral